AGAUCAGCGGCGGACGGGUGAGUAACACGUGGGCAACCUGCCUGUAAGACUGGGAUAACUUCGGGAAACCGGAGCUAAUACCGGAUAAUCCUUUCCCUCACAUGAGGGAAAGCUGAAAGACGGUUUCGGCUGUCACUUACAGAUGGGCCCGCGGCGCAUUAGCUAGUUGGUGAGGUAACGGCUCACCAAGGCAACGAUGCGUAGCCGACCUGAGAGGGUGAUCGGCCACACUGGGACUGAGACACGGCCCAGACUCCUACGGGAGGCAGCAGUAGGGAAUCUUCCGCAAUGGACGAAAGUCUGACGGAGCAACGCCGCGUGAGCGAUGAAGGCCUUCGGGUCGUAAAGCUCUGUUGUCAGGGAAGAACAAGUAUCGGAGUAACUGCCGGUACCUUGACGGUACCUGACCAGAAAGCCACGGCUAACUACGUGCCAGCAGCCGCGGUAAUACGUAGGUGGCAAGCGUUGUCCGGAAUUAUUGGGCGUAAAGCGCGCGCAGGCGGUUCCUUAAGUCUGAUGUGAAAGCCCCCGGCUCAACCGGGGAGGGUCAUUGGAAACUGGGGAACUUGAGUGCAGAAGAGGAGAGCGGAAUUCCACGUGUAGCGGUGAAAUGCGUAGAGAUGUGGAGGAACACCAGUGGCGAAGNCGGCUCUCUGGUCUGUAACUGAC
This 669-nucleotide ribosomal RNA is filed under the name bacterium 22D2. RNAcentral's name for it is "bacterial SSU rRNA". It matches the Rfam family "Bacterial small subunit ribosomal RNA", at positions 89 to 744 of the family's 1533-position model. The record is from RNAcentral.